AAAAGGGUGGUGAUGAGCUGUGGAUAGGGGAGAAAUUCCAAUCGAACUCGGAGAUAGCUGGUUCUCCCCGAAAUAGCUUUAGGGCUAGCCUCGGCGUUAAGUUUACUGGAGGUAGAGCACUGAAUAUCUGCGGGGGCGUCAAAGCCUACCAAUGAUUAUCAAACUCCGAAUGCCAGAUAAAUAUAGCCGGGAGUCAGACUGCACGAGAUAAGUUGGGUAGUCAAAAGGGAAACAGCCCAGAUCUACGAUUAAGGUCCCAAAGUGUAUGUUAAGUGGUAAAGGAUGUGGGGUUUCAUAGACAACCAGGAUGUUGGCUCAGAAGCAGCCAUUCAUUCAAAGAGUGCGUAAUAGCUCACUGGUCGAGAGGUCCUGCGCCGAAAAUUAACGGGGCUCAAACAUACCACCGAAAUCUAGGGAUUGUACUAUGUACAAUCGGUAGGGGAGCAUUCUUAGCGCAGCGAAGCUACACCGAUAAGGAGUAGUGGAGUGCUAUGAAGAGAGAAUGCCGGAAUGAGUAGCGAGAAUUAGGUGAGAAUCCUAAUGGCCGAAUAUCCAAGGUUUCCAGGGUAAAGCUGAUCUGCCCUGGGUUAGUCGGGUCCUAAGACGAGGUCGAAAGACGUAGCCGAUGGACAGCAGGUUGAUAUUCCUGCACCUCUUAUGAAUCAGAACUGUAGUGACGCGGAAGGAUAACGAAAGCUGGGAAUGGAAAGACCAGUUGCUUUAUUUGGGAAGUCUGAUAGGCAAAUCCGUCAGAAUAAUUCUUGAGUAAGGCGGGAGCGAAAUUUAAAGUAGUGAAGUUCGUGAAUCCAUGCUGCCGAGAAAAGCUGCUAUUGUGUCAUAAGAGCCCGUACCGUAAACCGACACAGGUGGAUGAGGAGAGAAUCCUAAGGCCGGCGAGAGAAGCAUUGUUAAGGAACUCGGCAAAAAUACCCCGUAACUUCGGAAGAAGGGGUGCCAUCCUCCGGGAUGGCCGCAGUGAAAAGGCCCAAGCAACUGUUUAGCAAAAACACAGGUCUAUGCGAAACCGAAAGGUGAUGUAUAUGGGCUGACGCCUGCCCGGUGCUGGAAGGUCAAUGGGAGAUGUUAGGAGCAAUCCGAAGCGUUGAACUCAAGCCCCAGUGAACGGCGGCCGUAACUAUAACGGUCCUAAGGUAGCGAAAUUCCUUGUCGGGCAAGUUCCGACCCGCAUGAAAGGCGUAAUGAUUUGGGCACUGUCUCGACAAUGCACUCGGUGAAAUUGAAGUGCCAGUGAAGAUACUGGUUACCCGCGCCAGGACGGAAAGACCCCAUGGAGCUUUACUUCAGUUUGAUACUGGGAUCCGGUACUACUCGCACAGGAUAGGUGGGAGGCUAGGAAGCAUGAGUUUUGGCUUAUGCAGAGCCGAUGUUGGGAUACCACCCCUGCAGUACUGGAUUUCUAACGGGAGCCCGUAAACCGGGCACCGGACAAUGUCAGGCGGGGAGUUUGACUGGGGCGGUCGCCUCCGAAAGUGUAUCGGAGGCGCUCAAAGGUUCCCUCAGGAUGGUUGGAAACCAUCCAUAGAGUGCAAAGGCAUAAGGGAGCUUGACUGCGAGGGAGACAUCUCGAGCAGAUACGAAAGUAGGACUUAGUGAUCCGGUGGUAUAAAGUGGGAUUGCCAUCGCUCAACGGAUAAAAGCUACCCUGGGGAUAACA
This 1675-nucleotide ribosomal RNA is filed under the name gut metagenome. RNAcentral describes it as "bacterial LSU rRNA". It matches the Rfam family "Bacterial large subunit ribosomal RNA", at positions 792 to 2479 of the family's 2925-position model. The record is from RNAcentral.